ACUUAAAUUGAAGAGUUUGAUCAUGGCUCAGAUUGAACGCUGGCGGCAGGCCUAACACAUGCAAGUCGAGCGGUAGCACAGAGAGCUUGCUCUCGGGUGACGAGCGGCGGACGGGUGAGUAAUGUCUGGGAAACUGCCUGAUGGAGGGGGGUAACUACUGGAAACGGUAGCUAAUACCGCAUAACGUCGCAAGACCAAAGUGGGGGACCUUCGGGCCUCAUGCCAUCAGAUGUGCCCAGAUGGGAUUAGCUA
This 252-nucleotide ribosomal RNA is filed under the name Klebsiella pneumoniae. RNAcentral's name for it is "partial 16S ribosomal RNA". It matches the Rfam family "Bacterial small subunit ribosomal RNA", at positions 1 to 247 of the family's 1533-position model. Lineage: Bacteria; Pseudomonadati; Pseudomonadota; Gammaproteobacteria; Enterobacterales; Enterobacteriaceae. The record is from RNAcentral.